ACUCAUGAUUCUCUUCAUAAUUGAAUGAGUCUUUUGCUUUUUACUAAAGAUUCAUAUAGGGAGGGAAAAGCAUGACUGUUGCCUCAAUAUUUUGAUAUUGAGGUGAUAUAAAUUACCU
Eubalaena glacialis (North Atlantic right whale) is the source of this 118-nucleotide small nuclear RNA. RefSeq annotates it as U5 spliceosomal RNA. The record is from RefSeq and is a predicted model, not a curated record. NCBI's taxonomy places the organism in Eukaryota, Metazoa, Chordata, Mammalia, Artiodactyla, Balaenidae. The transcript has a single exon.